GACGAACGCUGGCGGCGUGCCUAAUACAUGCAAGUUGAGCGCUGAAGGUUGGUACUUGUACCAACUGGAUGAGCAGCGAACGGGUGAGUAACGCGUGGGGAAUCUGCCUUUGAGCGGGGGACAACAUUUGGAAACGAAUGCUAAUACCGCAUAAAAACUUUAAACACAAGUUUUAAGUUUGAAAGAUGCAAUUGCAUCACUCAAAGAUGAUCCCGCGUUGUAUUAGCUAGUUGGUGAGGUAAAGGCUCACCAAGGCGAUGAUACAUAGCCGACCUGAGAGGGUGAUCGGCCACCUUGGGACUGAGACACGGCCCAAACCCCUACGGGAGGCAGCAGUAGUGAAUCGUCGGCAAUGGACGAAAGUCUGACCGAGCAACGCCGCGUGAGUGAAGAAGGUUCUCGGAUCGUAAAACUCUGUUGGUAGAGAAGAACGUUGGUGAGAGUGGAAAGCUCAUCAAGUGACGGUAACUACCCAGAAAGGGACGGCUAAGUACGUG
This 497-nucleotide ribosomal RNA is filed under the name uncultured bacterium. RNAcentral's name for it is "partial 16S ribosomal RNA". It matches the Rfam family "Bacterial small subunit ribosomal RNA", at positions 28 to 507 of the family's 1533-position model. The record is from RNAcentral.